CCCCCCCCCCCCCCCCCCCCCCCCCCCCCCCCCCCCCCCCCCCCCCCCCCCCCCCCCCCCCCCCCCCCCCCCCCCUCUUCACGGCGCUGCCCGCCGGCCUGCGGGCCCGGCGGCUGGUGCUGGGCACGGAGCACGUCCUGGCGCUGGGCGCCGGCGGGGAGGUGUUCAGCUGGGGCGGCGGCAGGUGAGCGGAGCUGCGGGGACACAGCGGUGCGGGGGAUACCGGGGGGCGUUCAGGAACUGCAGGACAAGCGGUAGAGACGAGCUCUUUGUUUAUUCUCACAAAGGCGUUUGUUGUUCAUUAGGGGUUGUCUGUGUAUUUGCUGCCCCAGUCAGGUUUUCCCAGAAGGUGCUGGAAAGCCCAGCCACAGGUCCCCCUGCCCUGGGUCCGAGUUCUGCUGGUGCAUGAUGAGCCUUGGCCACGGGAGCUGGCUGCUCUCGGCUGUAGGGGAAGGGUUGCCGCGUUCCUCUUUCCUAUUUAUGGAAGACAAACCCCACACUGAUCAUCAGUCACUGUCCAGAGCUGCGAGCCCUGGCCCAGUGCCCUCCCUGCUCCUCUGGCUCCGGGGAUUUCACUGCCCAGUCCCUGCUCUUGGUGGCUCAGGGGGUUUCAGUGCCCAGUCCCUGCUCUUGUGGCUCAGGGGGUUUCAGUGCCCAGUCCCUGCUCUUGGUGGCUCAGGAGGUUUCAGUGCCCAGUCCCUGCUCCUUGCUGGAGCAGCAGCUCGUGGCAAACACAGCACUCAGUUCACAGCAGUUGGUGUUUUGCAGACAGGACAUUAUUUGUUUUUUUUAUGCCUUCUCUUCAGAGGAAAGGUUUCUACAUGUGGGGAUAUGUACUUGAGUGCUGGGAAAUCUCAGCUUUACUAAGAGGGGUAACUGAGGUGUUUUUUAAAAGAUUUUAUUCCAUUUUUAGUCUAAUUGAAGGGUGAAGCAUAAGAGAUGUAAAACUCCGUGGCAUUCUGUCAGAACCCAACUUAUUUCUUGGUUAGAAUACCUUAUAAAUAUUUUUUAGCCUAUUAGCUUUUGCCAUGUAAUACUGCUAAUACUUCUAACGCCAAUCAUUUAUUAUUUUACCCCACGUGGUCUUGCUACAAUGCAAUUUCACAGUUUUAAGUCUCCAAAAUCUGUUCUUUUUGCAAGGCCAUCGUUUCAAACUUGUUUCUAGUCCAGUCUGUCUCUCAGCAAUGUCUUCCCUAUUCCAUUUCUAAAUCAGCACACCUUACCUCAGAGUUUGCAUACACCUGUACCAGACUGUGUGAGCUUUCAGUCAGGCUUGGAGAAUCCUUUACAAAUCCUUUCCUCACACCUCCCCCUCUUUCUUGAACUGUAAAAACUUUCUGAUGGUCUUAUUUGCUGUACACAGUGAAGAGCACAAAGUACAAAUACUAAUAUUGUUACUAUAACAAUUAAUAUAUAAAAAUUUAUUUUGCAAGGCUUUUUUAGUGAAGGUGCAAAGUUUUAAACAGGUUGUUUAAUUGAGAUUUAUAGUUUGUUUUAAUUUUAUUUGUGUUUUUGAGGCAGUUUGUGGGUGGAUUUUGAGUGGUUAGACAAAUUUACAGAAUACAGUUUUAAAUUUUUUUCUAACUAUGUUUAUGUGCUAGUAAGAGAAAAUUGGUUUAGUUUUAUAAGGUUUUAUCUUCAAUGCUACUAACGUUUGUUAUCAUAUUACUAAUUACUAUGGAAGUAGUAUUGAUUUUUUUUCUUAAUUAACAUUUUAAUUGAUUUAAUUUUUUAAUGUUACAACUGAGGUAAGUUGAGGUAAAAAUAAAUUUGAUACAAGUUGUUUUGUAGGGCUUCAGGGUUUAAAAUUGUUAUUAUAGUUUUUUUAUAAUGAUAGGCAGAUUUUUUUAAAAUUUUGAUGGUUUUUUAACACUAGGUGUUAUAGUGAAUUGUUUGAUGUUAUAUGGGUUAUUUUUAGUUUUUGAGGGAAUGCUUUGCUAGGUUUUAUUUUUAUAAAUGAGUUAAUAUUUUUGGUAAUUGUGGGAAUUUAUUAAGGUUAACAGUUUUAGUGGGUAUAGGAGUAAUACAAUUAUACUGAAAACUUGAUGUUUUGUGCACAGGAUGACAGGGAGUAACAUUUAAUUGUGGAUUUUUUUGGUACUGAAACAGUACAAAAUUUAAUUGCUAAAGAACUAAGAAUUUUUAAGGUUCAAAGGGAUGGUUAUGGAAUUUGUUUUGAUGGCAACUUCAUGUUAAUAAUUGUUAUGGUUAGGUAUUGGCUGCUUUUUGGUUGGCACUGGUUCACUGGUUAAACAUUGUAAAGGUUUUUUUGGGCUUGACUUAGUUAAUAUAUGGUGUUUGAGUUUGCUGACUUGGCUAAAGUAACUUAAAUAUUUGGCUUUGGUUGAUUUAUAGGCAUAUUUGUACUGUAAAAGCAAGUAAGCAAAACAAACAAGUAUAAAUACGUUGUUUGAUUUAACUUCAUGUUUUUGUUUAGUUACUUUUGGCAAAAGGCUUUUUCAUGUAUUUUUUUUCCCCAAAAUUUUUUAAGGACCGUUGUUUUGUUUACACUUAAUUUUGCAAAUUUGGGUAUUUUGGGAUGCCUUUUAACACCACAGACACCACACUUUUGUUAAACGAGUUGUAUUAUAUUGAUUGUUAUAGUUUUGACGUUGACAUAAACCGCACGGUUUGUAGUUUCUGUAGGUCGGGCUGGGGGCGUUGGGCGCGGGCUGUGACAUGAACUCGGGCUGUGCCAGCCUGGAGCUGGGCUGGCAGCGGGAAGGGCAGGGUGGGCUGCCCCCCCCCCCCCCCCCCCCCCCCCCCCCCCCCCCCCCCCCCCCCCCCCC
This 2789-nucleotide long non-coding RNA is filed under the name Ficedula albicollis (Collared flycatcher). Its description in RNAcentral is "lncRNA (ENSFALG00000023805.1)". Lineage: Eukaryota; Metazoa; Chordata; Aves; Passeriformes; Muscicapidae. The record is from RNAcentral.